Molecule: ribosomal RNA, 502 nt
Filed under: uncultured bacterium
Lineage: Bacteria
Description: partial 16S ribosomal RNA
Rfam family: Bacterial small subunit ribosomal RNA
Source: RNAcentral
GACGAACGCUAGCGGCGUGCCUAAUACAUGCAAGUCGAACGAACCGCGACUAAGUGCUUGCACUAAGUCAAGGUGAGUGGCGAACGGGUGAGUAACACGUGGGUAACCUACCUCAUAGUGGGGGAUAACAGUCGGAAACGACUGCUAAUACCGCAUAGGACAUAGGAUCACAUGAUCCAGUGAGGAAAGGUGGCGCAAGCUAUCGCUAAGAGAUGGACCCGCGGUGCAUUAGCUAGUUGGUAGGGUAAAGGCCUACCAAGGCGAUGAUGCAUAGCCGACCUGAGAGGGUGAUCGGCCACAUUGGGACUGAGACACGGCCCAAACUCCUACGGGAGGCAGCAGUAGGGAAUCUUCCGCAAUGGACGCAAGUCUGACGGAGCAACGCCGCGUGAGUGAAGAAGGUCUUCGGAUCGUAAAGCUCUGUUGUUAGAGAAGAACAGCGCAUAGAGUAACUGCUAUGCGUGUGACGGUAUCUAACCAGAAACCCACGGCUAACUACGUG